UGGGGAAUAUUGCACAAUGGAGGGAACUCUGAUGCAGCAACGCCGCGUGCGGGAUGACGGCCUUCGGGUUGUAAACCGCUUUCAGCCAUGACGAAGCUUUUGUGACGGUAGUGGUAGAAGAAGCACCGGCUAACUACGUGCCAGCAGCCGCGGUGAUACGUAGGGUGCGAGCGUUGUCCGGAAUUAUUGGGCGUAAAGAGCUUGUAGGCGGUUUGUCGCGUCGAUAGUGUAAACACGCAGCUUAACUGUGUGCCUGCUGUCGAUACGGGCUGACUAGAGGAGGGUAGGGGAGAAUGGAAUUCCCGGUGAAGCGGUGGAAUGCGCAGAUAUCGGGAGGAACACCAGUGGCGAAGGCGGUUCUCUGGACCUUUCCUGACGCUGAGAAGCGAAAGCGUGGGUAGCAAACAGG
This 409-nucleotide ribosomal RNA is filed under the name Fusobacteriota bacterium. RNAcentral's name for it is "Fusobacteria bacterium partial 16S ribosomal RNA". It matches the Rfam family "Bacterial small subunit ribosomal RNA", at positions 355 to 776 of the family's 1533-position model. The record is from RNAcentral. Lineage: Bacteria; Fusobacteriati; Fusobacteriota.